UGGGGAAUUUUGGACAAUGGGCGCAAGCCUGAUCCAGCCAUGCCGCGUGCAGGAUGAAGGCCUUCGGGUUGUAAACUGCUUUUGUACGGAACGAAAAGGUGCCUUCUAAUAAAGGGCGCUCAUGACGGUACCGUAAGGAUAAGCACCGGCUAACUACGUGCCAGCAGCCGCGGUAAUACGUAGGGUGCGAGCGUUAAUCGGAAUUACUGGGCGUAAAGCGUGCGCAGGCGGUUUUGUAAGACAGAGGUGAAAUCCCCGGGCUCAACCUGGGAACUGCCUUUGUGACUGCAAGGCUGGAGUGCGGCAGAGGGGGAUGGAAUUCCGCGUGUAGCAGUGAAAUGCGUAGAUAUGCGGAGGAACACCGAUGGCGAAGGCAAUCCCCUGGGCCUGCACUGACGCUCAUGCACGAAAGCGUGGGGAGCAAACA
RNAcentral lists this ribosomal RNA (427 nucleotides) under uncultured bacterium. Its description in RNAcentral is "bacterial SSU rRNA". It matches the Rfam family "Bacterial small subunit ribosomal RNA", at positions 355 to 774 of the family's 1533-position model. The record is from RNAcentral.